GCGUCUGUAGCCUAGUUGGUAAAGGCACCACUCUAGUAAGCUGGGGUUGUGAGUUUGACUCUCACCAGACAGA
RNAcentral lists this transfer RNA (73 nucleotides) under Puccinia triticina 1-1 BBBD Race 1. RNAcentral's name for it is "tRNA-Thr (AGT) (tRNA-Thr-AGT-104-1)". It matches the Rfam family "tRNA". From Rfam's summary of the family: Transfer RNA (tRNA) molecules are approximately 80 nucleotides in length. Lineage: Eukaryota; Fungi; Basidiomycota; Pucciniomycetes; Pucciniales; Pucciniaceae. The record is from RNAcentral.